CGUGCAAAGCUGCCAAAAGUGAAUGCAUCCACACCAGCCAGCACAGCACUGGAGACUCCCGUGAGCAUGUUCACCACUGCGAUGACCCCAAUUAACAGUUUAAUGGGGGAAAUGUACAGAGGAGAUCUGAAAACUGUUGAAGUCACCAAAGCAUUACAAGAUGCCAAGAGAUAGUGGUCAAAAACAGCCUGAUAACACACAGUGCCCAUGUGCAUGCUCCACUAUCUCAAGCCACUGUCACCCUGGAUCUUCUGCAGCACUAGCUGGGUGAGUACACCAGGUGCUCCUGUUCCAGGGUAUUGAUGGAGAAAUGAGAAUGGAGAAUUUUGAUCACUUGAUUGAAGUCCCUAAGAUACAGCUGUGUUGGCGCCAGGUAAAAAGCCAGAUCUCCUGGACUUUUCAUUACAUAACUUUUCAGAAUAUUUCCACAAGUUUCCAUAGGCAGACAAGGAGAAUCCCAGGGGAAUACUCCAUAAUAUUAUGAACGUGCGUUUCAUGAAAAUAUCAUCUUAGUUUUAGAUUAAAAUUUGAGGUUAGGGAGCAAGGAACAAUCUAUUCAUUAAAAAUAAAAUAUCAACUCUUCCUAGUUGUCUUUUUUCAACUGGCUCAUCCUGUUUUUUGGAAUGGGACAAACUAUUAAGUGAAUUCAACUUCACUUUCCUCCCCUCCCUUCCCAUCUCUUCCCCUCCCCUUCCUCUUUCCUUUCCUUUCUUCCCUUCCCCCCUCCUCCUCCUCCUCCUUCUCCUUCCUUCCUUCCUUCCUUCCUUUCUAUCUGUACAAACUAUUAUUUGCUUUUACCAAAUAGUUAUUUAUAAGAAAAACCUAAGUCACUUUCAAAAGUCGGUGAUUACACAAAACAAGAUUAUAGCAUACUAUUUCAGGGUAAAUUGCUAAUAUCAUUUUAAAAAUUACAUAUACCUCUAACAGCAUACUUGAUUCUUUAGUUUACAUUAAGUUAAAUUAAAAGUCCUCCCACCUCAAUCCUAUUGGCAAGUGAAAACUCCAGGGAAUGAACAUUUGUAUUUGACAGGCCACUAUGGGGAGGGUUACUGAUGAGCUGCAUAGCUGGCACAGAUUUGGCUUUUAAAGUAUAGCUGCAUUGUUUUUCAUGGACUCAGAAUCAGUGGUGCAUACUGCUGUUAAGGAAGUUUUGAUGCCUUUCUCACCUGGGGAAGGUGAACACUGCACUGAAUGAAGGGCUUUCAGGUCUUCCUCAAAGUCAAGCAGGAAAUCUUCAAGGUCACGUUCAUCUGCAGGCACAAGAAGUCCUGGAAUGAUUAGUUCUGCCUGUCUUUUCAAGGGACCAAAUCCCAGAGUGGAGAGUCCUGGGUUAUUCUGGAGACAUGAACUGUCACAAAUUCCUUGUGCUCUAGCUUUCUUGCAAGUCCCUUAUAAAGUUGCCUUUGGAUGUUCGACUCAAGCUGCUGUGACAUACUAUUCUAGUACAACUGAGGAUGAGGGAGAGUGACCCAAGACUCCGGGUAUAACAUCUAAACUCUCCCAUUCUGCUCUUGUUCCCUGCAGCUCAUGAUGUUCCCACAUUGAAGAGCUAAAUUAGAGGAGGCUAUGGGCCUCUUCAUUCAGAGCAGAAACCACUUUAUCCAAAUUUCUAACACUACAAUAGCUAUAGUGCAAAUGUUCUAGGCUAUGUUCUCUGAACACCAGAGGGAGAAUCAGAUACAGUAAGUUUCAGUCUUCCCUGGGGAAUUCUGCAUAACGGAGGACAAAUCAAGUAACUACUUGGUGCUUGGUUUAGCUAUCCAUGAAAUAGGAGUUUUGUGAUCUAACAUAUUUCCCCAAAGACACAGAUUUAAUUGGUCUCAUGUGGGAAUUGGGGACCAAUAUUUUUUAAAAGUUGCUAUGUGAUUCUAAUAUGUGGUCCAGGGUUGAGAAUCACUGCUUUUGAAAAUAAACUCCAUGAAUGACCGUCUCUCUCUGUUGUUCAUUGUGUGCUUUCAAGGCCUAGAACAGUGCCUGGCACAAAGUAGGCUCUCUAAUAACUUUUUGCUUGUGUUUUUAUUUUUUGAGUGAACAUUUUUGAGAGACAUUAGAGUGGGUGAGGCAGGAGGAGCAAAAACUGAAGCAAGAACAAGAACAAGACGCAUGCUGUGGCCUAAAACAAAAAAGGCAAGGACCAAGAUAUCAGUUCCUUAAACAGAUACGCAGACAGGAAAACCUGGUAAGGUUAUCUGCCGACAGACUGAAUCAUACUUGCUUUGGAAUCAACAAACCAUUAAGGCCCAAAGGGCCAUAAGAAUGAAAAUGGAUUUUGUCUUCUGGAGAAAAAGGUUCUGAAGUGUGUAUGAAAAAGGCAUCCUCCGAAAUAGCACCCUUUAAAAAGCUGAUGGAAACACCAUGUCAGUAAUCACCCCUGAGGACAGUAUAUGCUAAGCGGGAAUCUAAUUAUAAAUAUAAAUAUAAGAAUUCACCUACAGAACAGAUGAAAUUUUAGAAUGAAUCCUGAGCGAGUUUUCUCUUUCUCAGGUAGUCUUUAAAAAGUGGGAUUUAUUCACAAUUUGCUGAGGUACAAGGACUUGUCUGAAGUUCAGAUAAUCUGUUUGAUAAUUAUUUUUUUCUUUUUUUUUUUGAGAUAGUCUUGUUCUGUUGCCCAGGCUGGAGUGC
Molecule: non-coding RNA, 2622 nt
Organism: Macaca mulatta (Rhesus monkey)
Lineage: Eukaryota; Metazoa; Chordata; Mammalia; Primates; Cercopithecidae
Source: RefSeq, a predicted model, not a curated record